AUCUUGCGCAAUGGGCGAAAGCCUGACGCAGCAACGCCGCGUGGGGGAUGAAGGCUCUCGGGUUGUAAACCCCUUUCAGCAGGGACGAAUCAAGACGGUACCUGCAGAAGAAGCCCCGGCUAACUCCGUGCCAGCAGCCGCGGUAAUACGGAGGGGGCUAGCGUUGUUCGGAAUUACUGGGCGUAAAGCGCGCGUAGGCGGCUUUGUAAGUUAGAGGUGAAAGCCCGGAGCUCAACUCCGGAACUGCCUUUAAGACUGCAUCGCUAGAACGUCGGAGAGGUAAGUGGAAUUCCGAGUGUAGAGGUGAAAUUCGUAGAUAUUCGGAAGAACACCAGUGGCGAAGGCGACUUACUGGACGACUGUUGACGCUGAGGUGCGAAAGCGUGGGGAGCAA
This 394-nucleotide ribosomal RNA is filed under the name uncultured bacterium. RNAcentral describes it as "bacterial SSU rRNA". It matches the Rfam family "Bacterial small subunit ribosomal RNA", at positions 361 to 771 of the family's 1533-position model. The record is from RNAcentral.